GUGUAAAACAGGAGGGGGUUGAGGGGUCUGGUGCAGUAGAAGAGGACCUGCCAAGGCUGCAUAAGGCCUUGACUUUCACCUCUAGAAUGGAGAAGAAGGGAAGCCAGAGAUGGGCAUUGUCCUGACCGCAGGAGGCCCACAGCAGAUCAGAUCUACCCGUCAGCUGGCAAGCAGCACGAGCACCAGCACGUCGUAUUGUCCCGAGGACAAUCCAAACAGGGGCCCAAGGCCAUCAGAUGUCUGAGGAGGAGUGGUGGAGACUUGGUGUCCAGGAGUCCAGGCUGGGUUCGGGACACGCUCAUGAGCCUGAGCGCCUGCUCUUCCCUGUAGAUGACCUCUGCUGAGAGAUCCUCUAACAUGGCGUAUGUCGGGGGUCAUUGGAGAAACUGUCUCCAAAUCUAACGUCUACGUGUACCUGCCCUGGCAAUCGGGAAACCCUUGAAAAAUGUACAAGUCGUUCAUCCCUGCCUGAGAUGUGUGCCGAAGCCACGGAGCUGCAAGCAGCGAUUGCAAGGUGCGUUACAUCGUGAAGGACGCCAGGCCUCCGCAGCAACUUUCCCAGCGAGCAAGGAAGGGGCCGCGGGGCCGGGGUCUGGAACUCAGAAGCUUGAGCGAUCCUCCUGAGUCAGCCUUCCAAGCUGCUGGGACAGCAGAGACGUGAACUUCCACACCCAGCUCCAUUACAUCUUCAUUGUUAUUCUCCUCCCCCCCUUCCUUUCUGUUAACAAAUACAUGUUGAGCAACUACUAAGUGUCAUGUACUGGCCGGUACCAGUGACAUUUCAGGGAACAAACCAAAUACGUAUUUAUGUCUUCAUCUGUUACAUCUGGCUUUUAAAGGCAGCAGCAGGACAGUCGCCUUGCCAAAUAUUUUCUCUUCCCUGCCUUCCCUAUCAAGGUAAAUCUUUGCACUUAAAAAUAAGCUCAAAUAGCAAAGAGCACCAAAUUAUUAUCACCA
This 957-nucleotide long non-coding RNA is filed under the name Heterocephalus glaber (naked mole-rat). RNAcentral describes it as "lncRNA (ENSHGLG00000050707.1)". Lineage: Eukaryota; Metazoa; Chordata; Mammalia; Rodentia; Bathyergidae. The record is from RNAcentral.